GGGCACGUGAAAUCCUGUGUGAAUCCGCGAGGACCACCUCGUAAGGCUAAAUACUACUGAAUGACCGAUAGUGAAGCAGUACCGUGAGGGAAAGGUGAAAAGAACCCCGGGAGGGAAGUGAAAAAGAACAUGAAACCCUAAGCUUACAAGCAGUAGAAGGACGACUUUAAACGUUUGCCUGCGUGCCUGUUGAAGAAUGAGCCGGCGACUUGUAGUUAGUGGCAGGUUAAGGUAUUUCGUACUGGAGCCACAGUGAAAGCGAGCCUGAAGAGGGCGUUUGUCACUAAUUACGGACCCGAACCCGAGUGAUCUAUCCAUGACCAGGAUGAAGCUUAGGUAACACUAAGUGGAGGUCCGAACCGACUGAUGUUGAAAA
RNAcentral lists this ribosomal RNA (376 nucleotides) under Goniomonas pacifica. RNAcentral's name for it is "partial Bacterial large subunit ribosomal RNA". It matches the Rfam family "Bacterial large subunit ribosomal RNA", at positions 420 to 795 of the family's 2925-position model. The record is from RNAcentral. Lineage: Eukaryota; Cryptophyceae; Goniomonadida; Goniomonadaceae.